This is a non-coding RNA of Cinara cedri, 342 nucleotides long. NCBI's taxonomy places the organism in Eukaryota, Metazoa, Arthropoda, Insecta, Hemiptera, Aphididae. The record is from the annotation of a GenBank genome assembly.
AAAUAUUGACAGCUCCUACGUUCCAUUCGAAAAUUAAGGAUGCGUAGGUAGUGGUUUUACUCCCAAAAAUAAACAAAAUUAAUAACAUUCGUAUAAAAUUGUAAAGCAGCUUGUUUCUUAAAUAUUGUAUAAAAUAAAUUCCGAAAGAAGUUAAUACUUUCCGAGAUAAUGAGUGUACCCAAUUAAAUGGAUCACCCGGUAUAGUACAGUAAAUAAAACAUCAAAACGCAUACGGAUGAAUACUUUAAAUUCUGCCUUGUAGCGUGUUUAUUUUUUAAUAGCAUUGUCUAAUAACUUUUAAUAGGCGUCUUACUCCUCCUUUGCUCUCAAAAAGGAACCGAC